This 886-nucleotide ribosomal RNA is filed under the name Ceriporia sp. RNAcentral's name for it is "partial 28S ribosomal RNA". It matches the Rfam family "Eukaryotic large subunit ribosomal RNA", at positions 72 to 964 of the family's 3401-position model. The record is from RNAcentral. Lineage: Eukaryota; Fungi; Basidiomycota; Agaricomycetes; Polyporales; Irpicaceae.
GGAUUCCCCUAGUAACUGCGAGUGAAGCGGGAAAAGCUCAAAUUUAAAAUCUGACUGCCUUUGGCUGUCCGAGUUGUAGUCUAGAGAAGUGUUUUCUGUGUCGGACCGUGUACAAGUCCCUUGGAACAGGGCGUCAUAGAGGGUGAGAAUCCCGUCUUUGACACGGACUACCGGUGCUUUGUGAUGCGCUUUCAAAGAGUCGAGUUGUUUGGGAAUGCAGCUCAAAAUGGGUGGUAAAUUCCAUCUAAAGCUAAAUAUUGGCGAGAGACCGAUAGCGAACAAGUACCGUGAGGGAAAGAUGAAAAGCACUUUGGAAAGAGAGUUAAACAGUACGUGAAAUUGCUGAAAGGGAAACGCUUGAAGUCAGUCGCGUUGAUCAGAAAUCAGCCUUGCUUGUGCUUGGUGUACUUUCUGUUUAACGGGUCAGCAUCAGUUUUGGUUGCAGGAAAAAGAUUAGAGGAACGUGGCACCUCCGGGUGUGUUAUAGCCUUUAGUCAUAUACUGUGGCUGGGACUGAGGAACUCAGCACGUGUAUAUUGUGCUUUGGAUGCUGGCUUAAUGGCUUUAAACGACCCGUCUUGAAACACGGACCAAGGAGUCUAACGUGCAUGCGAGUAUUUGGGUGGUAAACCCGAAUGCGCAAUGAAAGUGAAAGUUGGGAUCUCUGUCAUGGAGAGCACCGACGCCCGGACCAGACCUUCUGUGACGGAUCUGCGGUUGAGCAUGUAUGUUGGGACCCGAAAGAUGGUGAACUAUGCCUGAAUAGGGUGAAGCCAGAGGAAACUCUGGUGGAGGCUCGUAGCGAUUCUGACGUGCAAAUCGAUCGUCAAAUUUGGGUAUAGGGGCGAAAGACUAAUCGAACCAUCUAGUAGCUGGUUCCUGCCGA